UGAUUUAAAGUCUAACCUGCCCAUUGAUUUAUUAAAAGGCCGCGGUAUUUUGACCGUGCGAAGGUAGCAUAAUAAUUAGUUUUUUAAUUGAAAGCUAGAAUGAAUGGUUGAACGAGAAAAAUACUGUCUCUAUUUAAAUUCAUUAGAAUUUUAUAUUUAAGUAAAAAAGCUUAAAUUAUUUUUAAAGACGAGAAGACCCUAUAGAGUUUAAUAGUUUAUUAAUUAUUAAAUUUUUAUUAUUUUAAGUUUUAUCAUUAAUUAAUUAUUUUAUUGGGGUGAUGGAAAAAUUUAUAAAACUUUUUUUGUUUAUAGACAUUAAUUUAUGAAUAAUUGAUCCAUUAAUUAUGAUUAUAAGAUUAAAUUACCUUAGGGAUAACAGCGUAAUUUCUUUAAAGAGUUCUAAUCGAAAAAGAAGUUUGCGACCUCGAUGUUGGAUUAAAAUUAAUUUUUGGUGUAGAAGCUAAAAUAUUAGGUCUGUUCGACCUUUAAAAUUUUACAUGAUCUGAGUUUAAACCGGUGUGAGCCAGGUUGGUUUCUAUCUUAAAAAAAGAAUAAUAUUUUAGUACGAAAGGAUCAAAUAUUUAUAAAAUUUAUUUUUAUUGAAUAAAUUU
RNAcentral lists this ribosomal RNA (611 nucleotides) under Coleoptera sp. AP-2009a. Its description in RNAcentral is "partial 16S ribosomal RNA". It matches the Rfam family "Bacterial large subunit ribosomal RNA", at positions 1843 to 2732 of the family's 2925-position model. The record is from RNAcentral. Lineage: Eukaryota; Metazoa; Arthropoda; Insecta; Coleoptera.